RNAcentral lists this transfer RNA (89 nucleotides) under Thermonema sp. RNAcentral describes it as "tRNA-Ser". It matches the Rfam family "tRNA". Rfam says of the family: Transfer RNA (tRNA) molecules are approximately 80 nucleotides in length. Their secondary structure includes four short double-helical elements and three loops (D, anti-codon, and T loops). Lineage: Bacteria; Pseudomonadati; Bacteroidota; Cytophagia; Cytophagales; Thermonemataceae. The record is from RNAcentral.
GGAGACGUGCCGGAGUGGUCGAACGGGCUUGACUCGAAAUCAAGUGUACCCUCUAACGGGUACCGAGGGUUCGAAUCCCUCCGUCUCCG